This 136-nucleotide ribosomal RNA is filed under the name uncultured eukaryote. RNAcentral describes it as "partial 18S ribosomal RNA". It matches the Rfam family "Eukaryotic small subunit ribosomal RNA", at positions 1299 to 1458 of the family's 1831-position model. The record is from RNAcentral.
UGGUGGAGUGAUUUGUCUGGUUAAUUCCGUUAACGAACGAGACCUUAUCCUGCUAAAUAGUGACAGGAAAUUCUUUCCUGCUCACUUCUUAGAGGGACUUCGUGUGUUUAACACGAGGAAGCUUGAGGCAAUAACA